This 1452-nucleotide long non-coding RNA is filed under the name Salmo salar (Atlantic salmon). RNAcentral's name for it is "lncRNA (ENSSSAG00000111930.1)". The record is from RNAcentral. Lineage: Eukaryota; Metazoa; Chordata; Actinopteri; Salmoniformes; Salmonidae.
GUUAUGGAUGGUGGUGUAGAUGAGGCUGGGUCUAGUCAUGCUACAGAUGGUGGUGUAGAUGAGGCUGGGUCUAGUCAUGCCAUGGAUGGUGGUGUAGAUGAGGCUGGGUCUAGUCAUGCUACAGAUGGUGGUGUAGAUGAGGCUGGGUCUAGUCAUGCUAGAGAUGGUGGUGUAGAUGAGGCUGGGUUUAGUCAUGUUAUAGAUGGUGGUGUAGAUGAGGCUGGGUCUAGUCAUGCUAGAGAUGGUGGUGUAGAUGAGGCUGGGUUUAGUCAUGUUAUAGAUGGUGGUGUAGAUGAGGCUGGGUCUAGUCAGGUUAUAGAUGGUGGUGUAGAUGAUGCUGGGUCUAGUCAUGCCAUGGAUGGUGGUGUAGAUGAGGCUGGGUCUAGUCAGGUUAUAGAUGGUGGUGUAGAUGAGGCUGGGUCUAGUCAUGCUAGAGAUGGUGGUGUAGAUGAGGCUGGGUUUAGUCAUGUUAUAGAUGGUGGUGUAGAUGAGGCUGGGUCUAGUCAGGUUAUAGAUGGUGGUGUAGAUGAUGCUGGGUCUAGUCAUGCCAUGGAUGGUAGUGUAGAUGACGCUGGGUCUAGUCAGGUUAUAGAUGGUGGUGUAGAUGAUGCUGGGUCUAGUCAUGCCAUGGAUGGUAGUGUAGAUGAGGCUGGGUCUAGUCAGGUUAUAGAUGGUGGUGUAGAUGAUGCUGGGUCUAGUCAUGCCAUGGAUGGUAGUGUAGAUGAGGCUGGGUCUAGUCAGGUUAUGGAUGGUAGUGUAGAUGAGGCUGGGUCUAGUCAGGUUAUGGAUGGUGGUGUAGAUGAGACUGGGUCUAGUCAGGUUAUAGAUGGUGGUAUAGAUGAGGCUGGGUCUAGUCAGGUUAUAGAUGGUGGUGUAGAUGAUGCUGGGUCUAGUCAGGUUAUGGAUGGUGGUGUAGAUGAGGCUGGGUCUAGUCAGGUUAUGGAUGUAGUGUAGAUGAGGCUGGGUCUAGUCAGGUUAUAGAUGGUGGUGUAGAUGAUGCUGGGUCUAGUCAGGUUAUGCUAGUGGAUGAGGAGAGUAUAGUGGGGAAGUGUAAGAAACUAGGGGGGAGGAGGAGGGUGUCAAGAGAAAAAGGGUGUGGUCAAAGGCACCAUGGAACCUUUGCCUGGUGCUGGGGGAGGCCCUGACUAGAGAGGAAGGGCAGGUGGUCAGGAUUGGAGAUGGAGAUGAGGAGGAGGAAAGUGAGUCUGAGGAAGAGGAUGAUGAGGAGGCCUUUUCUUCAGACUCCUCUUCAAUGGGUCCGGAGCUGACAGCCAGUCAAGCAGAGGGGUCAAAGUAUACGGUGAGAGAACUGACAAGGUUCCUGAAUGAGACCAAGGUGGAAAAAGUUAAUCUUGAGGAUUUUUUUUCUGAUCCGAGAAAGUUUGUAAGAUCAGUACAACAUGCUAUGACAAAUGAGGGGCAUGGUGUCCUCUCACCCAGGAAACGGUUUAG